GACAAGUGGAUUAAUGACUUAUUUUUCUGGAUUUUGAUUUGGGCUUAGGAGACUGGUAUCUAAUACUUUUGCUUGGGCUUUAUUUGGGGUUUAAUUGGGUUCAAUUGGCAAAAACAAUGAGGCUAGCCCAUCAGUUUUGCUUGGGUUUCGAUUGGGCCAAGUGACUUUCGGCCCCAACAAAUAAGAAAUGGCCCAAGUGGCCUGAUCCAUUAAGAAACCAAAAAAUGCAUUUGCGAAUCAGUCCCUGGAUUUUUCCUUAACUAUACAGUGGCCCUAGAAACUUUCCAUUUCUUUCAAUUGGGUCCCUAGUUUAAUUGUAAAUAGGUCCCUCAACUUUAUUUUUCUUUAUUUGUGACCUUGAAUCUUUGUGAUAAUUGUAAUUGAACCCCCAAAGCUUUGUUAAUUCUUGCAAUCAAGUC
RNAcentral lists this long non-coding RNA (419 nucleotides) under Coffea arabica (coffee). RNAcentral describes it as "long non-coding RNA (CARA_LNC002546)". The record is from RNAcentral. Lineage: Eukaryota; Viridiplantae; Streptophyta; Magnoliopsida; Gentianales; Rubiaceae.